CGAGUUUUUAAAAAAAAAAAUCUAAAAUUCUCUCUGAAAUGAGAGGGGAGAGAGAGAUCUAGGCUCCAGUCUUCGUCGAUCCGAGCCCUGGUCGUCGGCCUCACGCACCUACGCGCCCACGCGCCCACGCGCCGUCGCCCCGUCGCCUACUCCUCCCCGUACGGUGGUCAGAGGUUUAAAGAAACUCGCUUUCUGAUGCAAAUAAAAGAUACCAAAAAAUCCGGCUAAGAUUGCGCUGUAGAUGCAAAUCUUGUCUGGUGACCACUAAACAGCCCCUGCUGCGAAGAUUUUGGCACUGAUAGAGGCACAAAAGGUCGUCGGUGAGGCCUGAGAUUGCGGUGCACUGAUGUGAGGUUAACAGUGAUGACGUUUGGAGUGCCCGAGGGAUCUCGUGACCGUCAAUCUGACCGGCAUUGCUGAGGGCUAGCUGGGGUGACGUGAGGGGACAGGGCUAUUGAUGGCCCUUGCUUUGGGAGCUGGAACGGCUCUGACGUGGCGAAGCUUCUGGAAUGGCUCUUACGGCGCUGGGGUUCUUAGGGUUUCCUGCUGGUACUUUAAGUCAUUGGGCCUUUUGGGCCCGAGUGACUUGGGACUAUUUGGGUCUAUUGGGUAGUGAUAUAAUCUGAUAUGGGUUGUAACCGGGUAUGGGGCUUUUGUAUUUGGGCUUAUGAGGUGUUGAGGCCUGUGUAUUGUAAAUGGAUUGUUUAAAUAAAUAAACAUUCAUUUAUUUAUUUUUGUAUUUCUGUUUUGGUUUUAAGGCCCUGUCAAAUUUGGGCUAUUACAGUAUGAAUGAUGUAUUUAUGAAUUGAAUAUUGAAUGACUAAUGUUAUUGUAUGAAUAAAUGUGGUUUUUAAUA
Long non-coding RNA from Gossypium arboreum, 856 nucleotides. RefSeq lists it as uncharacterized. Lineage: Eukaryota; Viridiplantae; Streptophyta; Magnoliopsida; Malvales; Malvaceae. The transcript is spliced from 2 exons. The record is from RefSeq and is a predicted model, not a curated record.